RNAcentral lists this ribosomal RNA (773 nucleotides) under uncultured bacterium. RNAcentral's name for it is "bacterial SSU rRNA". It matches the Rfam family "Bacterial small subunit ribosomal RNA", at positions 38 to 785 of the family's 1533-position model. The record is from RNAcentral.
CAUGGCGGGUGCUAGAAUGCAAGUCGAGCGACUAUUUCAGGGUAGCAAUAUUCUGGAGUGGGAGCGGCGCAAGGGGGCGUAACACGUGGGUAAUCUGCCGUGAAGUCUGGAAUAACUUGCUGAAAGGCGAGCUAAUACCGGAUGUGGCCAUUGGGAGGCAUCUUCUGAUGGCUGAAGUUGGGGACCGUAAGGCCUGACGCUUCAUGAUGAACCCGCGGCCUAUCAGCUAGUUGGUGAGGUAACGGCCCACCAAGGCUAAGACGGGUAGCUGGUCUGAGAGGACGACCAGCCACACUGGAACUGAGACACGGUCCAGACACCUACGGGUGGCAGCAGUCGAGAAUUUUUCACAAUGGGCGCAAGCCUGAUGGAGCGACGCCGCGUGGGGGAUGAAUGGCUUCGGCCCGUAAACCCCUGUCAUUCGCGGUCAAACCUUGUUAUUUAAAAGAUGACGAGCUGAUAGUAGCGGAAGAGGAAGGGACGGCUAACUCUGUGCCAGCAGCCGCGGUAAUACAGAGGUCCCGAGCGUUGUUCGGAUUCACUGGGCGUAAAGGGUGCGUAGGUGGUGAGGUAAGUCGGAUGUGAAAUCUCGGAGCUUAACUCCGAAAUGGCAUUGGAAACUACCUUGCUUGAGGAUUGGAGGGGGGACUGGAAUACUUGGUGUAGCAGUGAAAUGCGUAGAUAUCAAGUGGAACACCAGUGGCGAAGGCGAGUCCCUGGACAAUUCCUGACACUGAGGCACGAAAGCUAGGGGAGCAAACAGGAUUAGAUAC